Long non-coding RNA from Homarus americanus (American lobster), 551 nucleotides. RefSeq lists it as uncharacterized. Lineage: Eukaryota; Metazoa; Arthropoda; Malacostraca; Decapoda; Nephropidae. The transcript has 4 exons. The record is from RefSeq and is a predicted model, not a curated record.
AGUUGUUCGUGGUAAGUUAUUAACAGUGUUCAUCGCCUCAGUUGUAAACAUUAAGUCGACCAAAAUGUGUUAAUUAAAAUACAAACUUGGAUGAUUUAAUACUUCACUACGUCACUUGUACGGCUCCAAUACGCUGUUAAUGUAGUGUUAAGACAACUACCAUAUUGCAGCCUCGCUGAUCAUGGUUAAUGAAGUUCAUCAUGUCAUUGGUCGAGGACGGUGACGUGAAGAUGUAAGAUGUGGGCCACAAGACGAAGGUUUGUUAUGGUUAACGGGUCUCUUGCUGCACCACAUUGGAAACUCUCUGCUAUAACAUAAGAUACUGUGAUGUCACAUCUCAAGACCAAGUGUAACUAAGUAGAAGUUCACAAUGUCAAGCAGAGAUAAAAAGUUCUCCUGUGAGGAAUGUGGCAAACAGUUUGGCUUCAAGUCUACUCUUCAGAGACAUUUACUUGUACACAAUGGUAUGAAGGAGUUUGAAUGUGAGGAAUGUGGAAAAUGUUUCUCACGGAAGGGUACUCUCAAGACACACAUCCUUGUACAUAAUGGAG